Long non-coding RNA from Mya arenaria, 1465 nucleotides. RefSeq lists it as uncharacterized. The record is from RefSeq and is a predicted model, not a curated record. Lineage: Eukaryota; Metazoa; Mollusca; Bivalvia; Myida; Myidae. The transcript has 3 exons.
GAGAAGAUGUAGUUUAACGUUUUUUUCUAUUCUUAGCUCUGGUGCCCAUGUUGUGCAGCAGACCAGAACUGUUUGGGCUAUUUUGGUUAAGGACUACCCAAGUAACAUUUCUGUCAAGUUUCAUUGCAAUACGAUCAUCGGUUUCUGAGGAGAAGUCGUUUAAAGGUUUUUCUAUUUUUACCUCUGGGGGCCAUCUUGUGCAGUGGACCGAAACCAUUGAAGCAAAUUUGAUAAAGGACCGUCCAAGGAACAUUUCUGUUAAGUUUCAUCAAAAUCUGAUCAUCGGUUUCUGAGAAGAUGUUCUUUAAAGGUUUUUCUAUUUUUUUGCCCUGGCAGCCAUGUUGUGCAGCGGACCGGAACCAUUUGAGCAAUUUUGGUUAAGGACCACCCAAGGAACAAUUCUGUCAAGUUUCAUCAAAAUCUGCCUAUCCGUUUCAGAGGAGAUGUCGUUUAAAGAUUUUGCUAUUUUUAGCUGUGGCGGCCAUAUUGUGCAAUGGACCAGAACCAUUUGAGCAAUUUUAAUAAAGGACCACCCAAGGAACAUUACUGUCAAGUUUCAUCAAAAUCUGCCGAACCGUUUCAGAGGAGAUGUCGUUUAAAGAUUUUGCUAUUUUUAGCUCUGGCGGCCAUAUUGUGCAAUGGACCGGAACCAUUUGAGCAAUUUUGGUAAAGGACCACCAAAGGAACAUUCCUGUGAAGUUUUGUCAAAAUCCGCUUAUCAGUUUCAGAGGAGAUGUCGUUUAAAGUAAAAGUUUACGCACGCACACACGCACGCACGCACGCACGCACUCACGACGGACAAUCUGUGACGACAUAAGCUCCAUGGCCUUCGGCCAGUGGAGCUAAAAAUUGGAUGGCAAUACAUCAGACUAGAAGUUAUAAGUAUUGAGAUGGAUGAAAUGAAACCUGAGCCUACCAAAGCUGACAGAUUGCACAAGAAACACAUAAAUGCAGAUUGGAAGAUUCAUUCUCUGGAAAGUAGAAAAAGGCGUGUUACAUACAGUUAUCACAGCCAUAACAGAAACCAUAUUGAGGAGCUGGUUCCCCCCGAAGGAAGAAUUGCGCUGUUGGUUUGGGCAGCACUAUUCCCCAGCCAAUUACACCAGCACUUUUUUUGUCAUAAAGAGCAUUUCUGAGAAGUUAUGGAGACGAGACCACUUACUAUGCAGGUGUUGCGGUGAAAUUUGCACCAGUGUGUUUUCUGUGGAGAUAACGAGAUAGUGUCCAGCAAUGAAGACCCAACUGAAGAUCUGACCUUGUAAGGCCAAUAUGAAAUAACUGUGUGGGAAAAUGUGAAAAACCUGCAGUCAGGAAUGCACUUAAAUCAUCAAAAGAACAGUGUGAAAUUAAUCUUGAAUAACUUGACAUUUAUUUGUUUGACAUAUUUAUUCAUGGUGCAGUGAAAACAUGUUUAUUUCUCUUGGUUAUUUUAAUUUAGAAUUGAUAGAAGGGAACAUCACUAUGU